AUAUCCUUUAACUGUAGUCCCGAGAGACUAAGAAGGAAACGAUGAAUAGCUGAUUGAAAAUCAAUCUGUCAAUCAUUCAUAUUGCCCUCUUGUCUUUCGAUUAGACAAGAGGUUAUUUAU
Molecule: non-coding RNA, 120 nt
Organism: Bacillus sp. TS-2
Lineage: Bacteria; Bacillati; Bacillota; Bacilli; Caryophanales; Bacillaceae
Source: Rfam